AGAGUUUGAUCCUGGCUCAGGAUUAACGCUAGCGGCAGGCCUAAUACAUGCAAGUCGAACGGGAUUUCGGGUAGCAAUAUCUGAAUGAGAGUGGCGCACGGGUGCGUAACACGUAUGCAAUCUGCCUCUGACUGGGGAAUAGCCUUCCGAAAGGAAGAUUAAUACCGCAUAAAAUAAUGAAGUGGCAUCACUUUAUUAUCAAAACUCUGGUGGUCAGAGAUGAGCAUGCGUCCGAUUAGCUAGUUGGUGAGGUAAUGGCUCACCAAGGCAACGAUCGGUAGGGGGUCUGAGAGGAUGAUCCCCCACACUGGUACUGAGACACGGACCAGACUCCUACGGGAGGCAGCAGUAAGGAAUAUUGGACAAUGGUCGCAAGACUGAUCCAGCCAUGCCGCGUGAAGGAUGAAUGCCCUAUGGGUUGUAAACUUCUUUUAAACGGGAAAAAACCCCUCUACGUGUAGGGGGCUGAUGGUACCGUAAGAAUAAGGAUCGGCUAACUUCGUGCCAGCAGCCGCGGUAAUACGAAGGAUUCGAGCGUUAUCCGGAUUUAUUGGGUUUAAAGGGUGCGUAGGUGGACUAAUAAGUCAGUGGUGAAAGCCCGCAGCUUAACUCGGAAACUGCCAUUGAUACUAUAGGUCUUGAAUCAUCUGGAGGUGAGCGGAAUAUGUCAUGUAGCGGUGAAAUGCUUANAUAUGACAUAGAACACCGAUUGCGAAGGGCA
This 721-nucleotide ribosomal RNA is filed under the name uncultured bacterium. RNAcentral's name for it is "bacterial SSU rRNA". It matches the Rfam family "Bacterial small subunit ribosomal RNA", at positions 8 to 723 of the family's 1533-position model. The record is from RNAcentral.